Molecule: small RNA, 565 nt
Filed under: Pongo abelii (Sumatran orangutan)
Lineage: Eukaryota; Metazoa; Chordata; Mammalia; Primates; Hominidae
Description: retained intron
Source: RNAcentral
AUUUCCCAUCGUGCUGAGGCGGGUGGCAUGGCGGAGAAGGAUGACACCGGAGUUUGACGAAGAGGUGGUUUUUGAGAAUUCUCCACUUUACCAAUACUUACAGGAUCUGGGACACACAGACUUUGAAAUAUGUUCUUCUUUGUCACCAAAAACAGAAAAAUGCACAACAGAGGGACAACAAAAGCCUCCUACAAGAGUCCUACCAAAAGUAAGAAGGCUUGCUCAUUCUUUCUGGCUGAAUCUUUUGCACUUUACCUUACUGGCUAUUCACAUACUUCUUAAGCACUUCCAUGUCCUCCCUCACACUGGUAAGACUAUUUCAUCAAUAGUACAAAACUUUCUGUUAGAUAAACAUGAAUCCUUACUGCUUUGGAAUAUUAAUUUAUAUCCAGUGAGGAAAUAAUUUGGUAGAGAAUUAAAAUACAUUACUUAUUUAAAUAUUGAUGCUAUCCAAACAGAACCGAAAAAAAUAUACUAAAACUUUAAUGAGAGCACAGCUAAUAGGAAUCCUCUACUAACUGGAUUUUUCUGUUUAAAUCUUUUUUUUAAAAAACAGCAUGAAUUA